CGAAUUAGAACUUGUAUUUAAAGUAUUUCAUUUACAUUGAAAAAAAAUUAAAAUUUAAUUAGUUUGA
RNAcentral lists this transfer RNA (67 nucleotides) under Acraea vestalis. RNAcentral's name for it is "tRNA-Val". The record is from RNAcentral. Lineage: Eukaryota; Metazoa; Arthropoda; Insecta; Lepidoptera; Nymphalidae.